This 59-nucleotide transfer RNA is filed under the name Perkinsus marinus ATCC 50983. RNAcentral describes it as "tRNA-Thr". It matches the Rfam family "tRNA", at positions 7 to 64 of the family's 71-position model. Rfam says of the family: Transfer RNA (tRNA) molecules are approximately 80 nucleotides in length. The record is from RNAcentral. Lineage: Eukaryota; Perkinsozoa; Perkinsida; Perkinsidae.
UUAGCUUAGUGGUAGAGCGUCCGCUUCGUAAACAGAAGGUCGUCAGUUCAAUCCUGGCA